This 506-nucleotide ribosomal RNA is filed under the name uncultured bacterium. RNAcentral describes it as "partial 16S ribosomal RNA". It matches the Rfam family "Bacterial small subunit ribosomal RNA", at positions 29 to 523 of the family's 1533-position model. The record is from RNAcentral.
AGUGAACGCUGGCGGUAGGCCUAACACAUGCAAGUCGAACGGCAGCACAGGAGAGCUUGCUCUCUGGGUGGCGAGUGGCGGACGGGUGAGGAAUACAUCGGAAUCUACCUUUUCGUGGGGGAUAACGGAGGGAAACUUACGCUAAUACCGCAUACGACCUACGGGUGAAAGCAGGGGAUCUUCGGACCUUGCGCGAUUGAAUGAGCCGAUGUCGGAUUAGCUAGUUGGCGGGGUAAAGGCCCACCAAGGCGACGAUCCGUAGCUGGUCUGAGAGGAUGAUCAGCCACACUGGAACUGAGACACGGUCCAGACUCCUACGGGAGGCAGCAGUGGGGAAUAUUGGACAAUGGGCGCAAGCCUGAUCCAGCCAUACCGCGUGGGUGAAGAAGGCCUUCGGGUUGUAAAGCCCUUUUGUUGGGAAAGAAAUCCAGCUGGUUAAUACCCGGUUGGGAUGACGGUACCCAAAGAAUAAGCACCGGCUAACUUCGUGCCAGCCGCCGCAGUAA